RNAcentral lists this ribosomal RNA (762 nucleotides) under Pseudoalteromonas sp. RNAcentral describes it as "bacterial SSU rRNA". It matches the Rfam family "Bacterial small subunit ribosomal RNA", at positions 39 to 797 of the family's 1533-position model. The record is from RNAcentral. Lineage: Bacteria; Pseudomonadati; Pseudomonadota; Gammaproteobacteria; Alteromonadales; Pseudoalteromonadaceae.
AUGGCUGGCGCAGCUACCAUGCAAGUCGAGCGGAAACAAAAGUACUUGCUACUCUGGCGUCGAGCGGCGGACGGGUGAGUAAUGCUUGGGAACAUGCCUUGAGGUGGGGGACAACAGUUGGAAACGACUGCUAAUACCGCAUAAUGUCUACGGACCAAGGGGGGCUUCGGCUCUCGCCUUUAGAUUGGCCCAAGUGGGAUUAGCUAGUUGGUGAGGUAAUGGCUCACCAAGGCGACGAUCCCUAUCUGGUUUGAGAGGAUGAUCACCCACACUGGGACUGAGACACGGCCCACACUCCUACGGGAGGCAGCAGUGGGGAAUAUUGCACAAUGGGCGCAAGCCUGAUGCACCCAUGCCGCGUGUGUGAAGAAGGCCUUCGGGUUGUAAAGCACUUUCAGUCAGGAGGAAAGGUUAGUAGUUAAUACCUGCUAGCUGUGACGUUACUGACAGAAGAAGCACCGGCUAACUCCGUGCCAGCAGCCGCGGUAAUACGGAGGGUGCGAGCGUUAAUCGGAAUUACUGGGCGUAAAGCGUACGCAGGCGGUUUGUUAAGCGAGAUGUGAAAGCCCCGGGCUCAACCUGGGAACUGCAUUUCGAACUGGCAAACUAGAGUGUGAUAGAGGGUGGUAGAAUUUCAGGUGUAGCGGUGAAAUGCGUAGAGAUCUGAAAGAAUACCGAUGGCGAAGGCAGCCACCUGGGUCAACACUGACGCUCAUGUACGAAAGCGUGGAGAGCAAACAGGAUUAUAUACUGUGGUACUCA